UAGUUGACCUGAGUAAUCGCUGCGUCGCUUUGACGGCGUAGAGGAAAGUCCAUGCUCACACAGUGCUGCGAUGCCUGUAGUGUUCGUGCAUACUGAAAAAAUAAGGUAUGGCAGUUAGUAGCUGACGGCGGAAGUAAUACCUAAGCCUUUCGAGGUAUGGUAGACGCUUCCUUAAGGUGCCACAGAGACGAAGCUUUGCGAGAAAUCGUAAAGGUGGAACGAGGUAAACCCCGCGAGUGAGAAACCCAAAUUUGGUAGGGGCACUCUCUAGAAGGAACUGAACGGAAUAGAGGGACGGAGCAAUCCGUAGACAGAUGAUUACUACUCAGUCGUACGAGGCUAACGCCGCUUGAGUACUUGAGGACAAAACAUGGCUUACAGGGUCGAUUAAUGA
This 394-nucleotide RNase P RNA is filed under the name Lysinibacillus sp. BF-4. Its description in RNAcentral is "bacterial RNase P". It matches the Rfam family "Bacterial RNase P class B". From Rfam's summary of the family: Ribonuclease P (RNase P) is a ubiquitous endoribonuclease, found in archaea, bacteria and eukarya as well as chloroplasts and mitochondria. Its best characterised activity is the generation of mature 5'-ends of tRNAs by cleaving the 5'-leader elements of precursor-tRNAs. The record is from RNAcentral. Lineage: Bacteria; Bacillati; Bacillota; Bacilli; Caryophanales; Bacillaceae.